AGGUAUAAGGUGUAUUCACAUACUUAAUAGGGAAUUUGGUUAAAAUCCAAAGCUAACCCAGUAACUGUAAUCAAUGACAAACUAGAAAAUAUACUACUGAUAUAAAUCGGGAAGGUACUAGUGAGGAUGAGUUGUAAGCCAGGAGACCUGCCUAUACCA
This 159-nucleotide non-coding RNA is filed under the name chicken gut metagenome. The record is from RNAcentral.